This 498-nucleotide ribosomal RNA is filed under the name uncultured bacterium. Its description in RNAcentral is "partial 16S ribosomal RNA". It matches the Rfam family "Bacterial small subunit ribosomal RNA", at positions 30 to 523 of the family's 1533-position model. The record is from RNAcentral.
AUUGAACGCUGGCGGCAUGCUUUACACAUGCAAGUCGAACGGGCUUAGGUGCUUGCACCUAGGUUAGUGGCGAACGGGUGAGUAAUGCAUCGGAACGUACCAUUGAGUGGGGGAUAACUAUCCGAAAGGAUAGCUAAUACCGCAUAUUCUCUCCGGAGGAAAGCAGGGGAUCUUAGGACCUUGCGCUCUUUGAGCGGCCGAUGUCAGAUUAGCUAGUUUGUGGGGUAACGGCCCACCAAGGCGACGAUCUGUAGCGGGUCUGAGAGGAUGAUCCGCCAAACUGGGAGUGAGACACGGCCCAGACUCCGACGGGAGGCAGCAGUGGGGAAUUUUGGACAAUGGGGGCAACCCUGUUCCAGCCAUGCCGGGUGAGUGAAGAAGGCCUUCGGGUUGUAAAGCUCUUUCGGCCGGGAAGAAAUCGCGUUGGAUAAUACCCAGCGUGGAUGACGGUACCGGACUAAGAAGCACCGGCUAACUACGUGCCAGCAGCCGCGGUAA